AUCCUCGAGCCGGAUUUGAACCAGCGACCUAAGGAUUACCGUUGAAACAUCUACAGUCCUCCGCUCUGCAAUUGAGUUAUCAAGGG
Molecule: transfer RNA, 86 nt
Filed under: Cordylochernes scorpioides
Lineage: Eukaryota; Metazoa; Arthropoda; Arachnida; Pseudoscorpiones; Chernetidae
Description: tRNA-Tyr
Source: RNAcentral